CAACAAAUGUAGGUUAUUUCUGACAAAAAUCGUGAAAACAGUUCCAAGCAAAAAUGAAAUCAUCGAAUGGGUCCAGUUAGUUUUGAAUUAGUACGCGCUGAAUUGCGUGCAAAGAAGGAGGACAAUGAAGAUCCAUCACAAUCUGAGAUGUUUGUUGUAACUCGUACGAGCAAAAAAAGAGAGACUGAUUUAGGAACACAAGAGACAAUUGAACAUUUUUAAAAAAUGAUGAUGAAGCAGGAUACAAUGAUGAUGAAGCAGUUCAAACAGUUUUCGGAAAGAAG
This is a non-coding RNA of Arachis ipaensis, 284 nucleotides long. The record is from RefSeq and is a predicted model, not a curated record. Lineage: Eukaryota; Viridiplantae; Streptophyta; Magnoliopsida; Fabales; Fabaceae.